AUUCAAAUAUCUUAUAUAAAGUAUAACACUGAAGAUGUUAUUAAGAUAAAUUUAUCUUUGAAUA
Molecule: transfer RNA, 64 nt
Filed under: Psychomantis borneensis
Lineage: Eukaryota; Metazoa; Arthropoda; Insecta; Mantodea; Hymenopodidae
Description: tRNA-Phe
Source: RNAcentral